AUGGACCUCCUUUUCCUGGAGAAGCUCCUCGUCGGCCUCUUCGCGUCCGUGCUGGUCGCCGUCGCCGUGUCCAAGCUCCGCGGUCGCAAGCUCCGGCUGCCGCCCGGCCCUGUCCCGGUGCCCAUCUUCGGCAACUGGCUCCAGGUCGGGGACGACCUCAACCACCGCAACCUAGCGGCGCUGGCCCGCAGGUUCGGAGAGAUCUUCCUCCUCCGCAUGGGCCAGCGCAACGUGGUGGUGGUCUCCUCCCCGGAUCUCGCGCGCGAGGUGCUCCACGCGCGGGGGGCGGAGUUCGGCUCCCGCGGCCGGAACGUGGUGUUCGACGUCUUCACCGACGGGGGCCAGGACAUGGUGUUCGCGGCGUACGGCGACCACUGGCGCACGAUGCGCCGCGUCAUGACGGCGCCCUUCUUCACGGGCAAGGUGGUGCAGCGGCACCACGCAGGAUGGGAGGCCGAGGCCGCGGCCGUCGUGGACGCCGUCCGCGCCGACCCCGCCGCCGCCACCGGCGGCGUCGUGCUCCGCCGCCACAUGCAGCUCAUGAUGUACAACAACAUGUACGGCCUCAUGUUCGGCCGGCGGUUCGAGGGCCUGGACGACCCCCUGCUCCUCCGCCUCAGGGAGCUCAACGGCGAGCGCAGCCGCCUCGCGCAGAGCUUCGAGUACAACUACGGCGACUUCAUUCCCGUCCUGCGUCCGUUCCUCCGCGGCUACCUCAAGAUCUGCAAGGAGGUCAAGGACGCCCGCCUCAAGCUCUACAAGGAUUGCUUCGUCGAGGAGAGGAGGAAGAUGCUGGCGAGAUUCAAGGCCACGGACAGCCAUGAGCUCAAGUGCGGCAUGGAUGAGAUUCUGGAGGCGCAGCGCAAGGGCGAGAUCAACGAGGAUCACGUGCUCUUCAUCGUCGAGAAUAUCAACGUUGCCGCGAUCGAGACGACGCUGUGGGCGAUGGAGUGGGCGGUGGCCGAGCUGGUGAACCACCCGGAGACCCAGCAGAAGCUGCGGCGCGAGAUGGACACCGUGCUGGGAGCCGGCCACCAGGUCACCGAGCCGGACACGCACAGGCUCCCCUACCUGCAGGCCGUGGUCAAGGAGGCGCUCCGGCUGCGCAUGGCCAUCCCGCUGCUGGUGCCGCACAUGAACCUCCGCGCCGCCGAGCUCGGCGGCCACGGCGUCCCCGCCGAGAGCAAGGUCCUCGUCAACGCCUGGCACCUCGCCAACGACCCCGGCCUGUGGGAGCGGCCCGGCGAGUUCCGCCCCGAGAGGUUCCUGGAGGAGGAGAGGCACGUCGAGGCCGGCGGCAACGACUUCAGGUACCUCCCCUUCGGCGCCGGCCGCAGGAGCUGCCCGGGCAUCGUCCUCGCGCUGCCGUUCCUCUGCAUUACCGUCGGCCACCUCGUGCAGAACUUCGAGCUGCUGCCGCCGCCCGGGCAGGGCAUGCUCGACACCACUGAGAAAGGCGGGCAGUUCAGCCUCCACAUCUUGAAGCAUUCCACCAUCGUGGCCAAACCGAGGGUGUUUUAA
This 1521-nucleotide ribosomal RNA is filed under the name Triticum aestivum (bread wheat). RNAcentral describes it as "partial small subunit ribosomal RNA". Lineage: Eukaryota; Viridiplantae; Streptophyta; Magnoliopsida; Poales; Poaceae. The record is from RNAcentral.